RNAcentral lists this ribosomal RNA (891 nucleotides) under uncultured bacterium. RNAcentral's name for it is "bacterial SSU rRNA". It matches the Rfam family "Bacterial small subunit ribosomal RNA", at positions 91 to 1015 of the family's 1533-position model. The record is from RNAcentral.
GAUAGUGGCGGACGGGUGAGUAACGCGUGAGAAUCUGCCUCUAGGAUGGGGAUAACGGUUGGAAACAACCGCUAACACCCAAUGUGCCGCAAGGUGAAAAAUUUAUUGCCUGGAGAGGAGCUCGCGUCUGAUUAGCUAGUUGGUAAGGUAAGAGCUUACCAAGGCAUCGAUCAGUAGCUGGUCUGAGAGGAUGAGCAGCCACACUGGGACUGAGACACGGCCCAGACUCCUACGGGAGGCAGCAGUGGGGAAUUUUCCGCAAUGGGCGAAAGCCUGACGGAGCAAUACCGUGUGAGGGAGGAAUGCCUUUGGGUUGUAAACCUCUUUUCUCAGGGAAGAAGAUCUGACGGUACCUGAAGAAUAAGCAUCGGCUAACUCCGUGCCAGCAGCCGCGGUAAUACGGAGGAUGCAAGCGUUAUCCGGAAUUAUUGGGCGUAAAGCGUCCGCAGGUGGUUUUCAAAGUCCGCUGUUAAAGACUGGAGCUCAACUCCGGAAAGGCGGUGGAAACUUGAGAACUAGAGUUUGGUAGGGGUAGCAGGAAUUCCCAGUGUAGCGGUGAAAUGCGUAGAUAUUGGGAAGAACAUCGGUGGCGAAGGCGUGCUACUGGACCAUAACUGACACUCAGGGACGAAAGCUAGGGGAGCGAAAGGGAUUAGAUACCCCUGUAGUCCUAGCUGUAAACGAUGGAAACUAGGUGUGGCUUGUAUCGACCCGAGCCGUGCCGUAGCCAACGCGUUAAGUUUCCCGCCUGGGGAGUACGCACGCAAGUGUGAAACUCAAAGGAAUUGACGGGGGCCCGCACAAGCGGUGGAGUAUGUGGUUUAAUUCGAUGCAACGCGAAGACCCUUACCAGGGCUUGACAUGUCGCGAAUCUUGAUGAAAGUUGAGAGU